AAUGCACAGGACACUUUUUACGAAUUAGUUGAGCACUCUCUACAAAGUGACGAGGAUUUUCAAAGGAAAGUGACUGUCAUAAAAGAUCUGCGGGAGAUGACUAGUGGUGUCCUCCAUUAUUAUAAAGGAGAUUUCUUGGAUGAGCUUCCUGGACUUGUAGAUUUCACUGUAGUGCUGAAUCUCAGUUCCAGACAAAAGAGUGAAACCCAGAAGUUAAAGAAGUGGUCUAGGAAGAUGAAGAUUGCUGCAGCUGGAAGUGCUACUUAUCUGCAUCCGAAAUUGGCUACUUAUCUGCAUCCGAAAAUGAAUUCCCUCUCUGAGAAAAGUGUCCCAACAGAUGAUAAGAUGGAUGAGCUGUUGGAAAGACUGGAUAUAAAAGAUGGAGUGAAGGCUAAAUUCUUUCUGAAUAUGUUGAACUUAUGUGAGGCUUCUGGUGAAAGGUUACUAGUUUUCAGUCAGUACCUCCUG
This 468-nucleotide long non-coding RNA is filed under the name Citrus sinensis (sweet orange). RNAcentral describes it as "long non-coding RNA (CSIN_LNC003394)". Lineage: Eukaryota; Viridiplantae; Streptophyta; Magnoliopsida; Sapindales; Rutaceae. The record is from RNAcentral.